CGGGGCAUGGCGCAGCUUGGUAGCGUACACCCUUGGGGUGGGUGGGGUCGCCAGUUCAAAUCUGGUUGCCCCGA
This 74-nucleotide transfer RNA is filed under the name Deferribacteraceae bacterium. Its description in RNAcentral is "tRNA-Pro". It matches the Rfam family "tRNA". Rfam says of the family: Transfer RNA (tRNA) molecules are approximately 80 nucleotides in length. Their secondary structure includes four short double-helical elements and three loops (D, anti-codon, and T loops). Further hydrogen bonds mediate the characteristic L-shaped molecular structure. tRNAs have two regions of fundamental functional importance: the anti-codon, which is responsible for specific mRNA codon recognition, and the 3' end, to which the tRNAs corresponding amino acid is attached (by aminoacyl-tRNA synthetases). tRNAs cope with the degeneracy of the genetic code in two manners: having more than one tRNA (with a specific anti-codon) for a particular amino acid; and 'wobble' base-pairing, i.e. permitting non-standard base-pairing at the 3rd anti-codon position. Lineage: Bacteria; Pseudomonadati; Deferribacterota; Deferribacteres; Deferribacterales; Deferribacteraceae. The record is from RNAcentral.